AUAGUUCCUAGCUAGUUGUGUUUUUUUGCCUGAAUGUGCAAUGCUUGUGUGAUACACUGCUAGCAAUUCGAUUAAUAUUGUUUGUUGGAUUUACAUAUUCAAAUGCUCCUGCUUGAUUCAUUCCUUUUAGUUCACGAUAUAUGCUUUUUCUUAUGUGCACUUCUGUUCUUUCCUCGCUGGGCUACAUUUUGCUAGCAGCUUGUGGAAGGCAAAUGAUAGAAUCCGAGAAGGGGGCGCCUCAAGUUGGAUUGAGGUUCAAAAAUCUAGAUGAAGCUUGGCAGUUUUGGGUGGCAUAUGGAGGCCGUAUGGGCUUUGAUGUGAGGUUCAAAAAAUACCAAGAAGACUAAUGAGCACACCUAUGCUGAUGCAAGCAAGCAAAGUGUAUACUCCAGCUAUUUUUGAAGCUUUCCAAAGUGAAUAUGAAAGAUCCAUGGCUGCAUGCAGUAAGGUAUUGGAUGGAAAUACAUAUGGCAUUGCUAUUGGGAGUUUAAAUGGUGGUAGCUUUGAGGAGGAGCGCAUAGUUACAUGUGAUCCUUCAAAGCAAAUUGUGUCCUGUAGCUGUGGAAUGUUCAGUAGAACUGGAAUAUUAUGUGCACAUGGUUUGAAAGUUCUUGAUUUAAUUAACACAAAGACAUUGCGGCACAUUAUAUAUUACCGAGAUGGACUAGAGAAGCAUGCAAAGGAAAUAUACAAGAUAGUCAAGGAAGGAACGUGGUAGCAAAUCCUAAGUUGGAAGCUCAUCUUUGGUACAGAUCUUUGUCUCAUAAGUUCCUCAAUUUGGCAUACAAAGCAGCGAAUUAUCCAGAGUGUUGUUUGAUGUUAGACAAUGGACUUGAUUGCCUUGAUGCACAGCUAGAGGAUAAACUCAUUGCAUUGAUUGCUCCCAUGAAAAAUUCAUGUAAUGACCAAGAAAAUGUUGAGCCCAAUGUGCAGCAGAGAAAUAACUUGGUCAGUGCAGCACAGCUAAAGAAAAAGGAGGUCCAGCCGAAAAGUUCAAAGAGGAAAAAAUCUUGGAUUGACAAGUUGCAAAAAAGGAAGCCUAAGCCAGCUAAAUCUACCAAACAAACAAAAAAAGCAGCAAAGGAGCAAAAGAAAGAUGAUGGUGUACAUCCCCAAGUAGAAGAGAAUGGUGACAGCAACAAAGGAGCACCUGUGGAGCUUCAAAAAUGCAGUAUCAUUCGCAGCUUAGGAAUUUUUACCGAACUCCUAACAUCUCCAAGUUGUGAUCUUGGUGAUGAAAAUCAGUUCUAGAAUGUGGAUUCCAACUUAGUGAUUUUGGACAUACCUAACCACAGUAUUUGGUUAGCUAACUAUAGCAUUUUGUGGCCUAAUUGUACAAGUGAAAUGGCCUUUACUUUGAAAGGUUCAGCUGCUGGUCUAUUGCACUAGAAUGAACAAUAUAUGUUGUAAUAAGCCCGCAGCUGCAAGACAGACAAUACCUUUCCUUUUGUAUCUAUUUCAGUUAGUGUCCUGAAGAUAUAAAGUAUGAACUUGUUAAUUGGGGCAAGUUCUUAAAGAGUUCAGGGGAUGAUAGAUGUGUCUAUUUUACUACUGAAUAUUUCCUAUUUGUUCCCUAAAAUUCUGUUUGAAUGAUUCAGAAUUCCAUGUGUUUGUGA
Molecule: long non-coding RNA, 1616 nt
Organism: Panicum virgatum (switchgrass)
Lineage: Eukaryota; Viridiplantae; Streptophyta; Magnoliopsida; Poales; Poaceae
Exons: 2
Source: RefSeq, a predicted model, not a curated record